GCAGCCUCCAGAGCUGGGAAGAAGUCACCCCAGCAAAUAGUCAGGAGCCAUGGGGAGGAGGCUGAGGGCUGCACUGGGACUUCUGUGGGUACAGAUUUGCUGGGUGAAAGGGCUGCAGGUGGAGCAGAGCCCUUCAGUCCAGUGGCUCCAGGAGGGAGCUAGCUCCACCCUGUCAUGCAAUUUCUCUACCACGGUGUACAGUGUGCAGUGGUUCCGGCAGAAUCCUGGCAGUGGCCUCCUCAGCCUGUUCUUCAUGACUUCAGGGACUAAGCAGAAGGGAAGGCUACAGUCAACACUGAAUUCUAAGGACCGCUCCAGCAGCCUGCACAUCUCUGCCUCCCAGCUGGAAGACUCAGGCACCUACCUGUGUGCAGCAGAGGCACAGUGCUCCCAGACACCCUGCAGCCCAGCCCUAAAGUGCAGCUGGGCGGCAGCCCCAGCCUCUGCCUGAGGGAGGGGCACAGCAUCCAUCCCCCUACUGUUG
Molecule: non-coding RNA, 484 nt
Organism: Perognathus longimembris pacificus (Pacific pocket mouse)
Lineage: Eukaryota; Metazoa; Chordata; Mammalia; Rodentia; Heteromyidae
Source: the annotation of a RefSeq genome assembly